This 755-nucleotide ribosomal RNA is filed under the name Methanosaeta sp. enrichment culture. Its description in RNAcentral is "bacterial SSU rRNA". It matches the Rfam family "Archaeal small subunit ribosomal RNA", at positions 102 to 856 of the family's 1478-position model. Lineage: Archaea; Methanobacteriati; Methanobacteriota; Methanomicrobia; Methanotrichales; Methanotrichaceae. The record is from RNAcentral.
GGACAACCUGCCCUGAGGACUGGAAUAAUCCCGGGAAACUGGGAGUAAUUCCAGAUAUGCCAGGGAACCUGGAAUGGUUUCUGGCAGAAAUGCUCCGGCGCCUCAGGAUGGGUCUGCGGCCUAUCAGGGUAGUAGUGGGUGUAACGUACCCACUAGCCUACGACGGGUACGGGUUGUGAGAGCAAGAGCCCGGAGAUGGAUUCUGAGACAUGAAUCCAGGCCCUACGGGGUGCAGCAGGCGCGAAAACUUUACAAUGCGAGCAACCGCGAUAAGGGGACCUCGAGUUCUGGGUUACAAACCUGGCUGUUGGGCUGCCUAAAAAGCAAUCUAUAGCAAGGGCCAGGCAAGACCGGUGCCAGCCGCCGCGGUAACACCGGCGGCUCGAGUGGUAACCGCUGUUAUUGGGUCUAAAGGGUCUGUAGCCUGCCGGCUAAGUCUCUUGGGAAAUCUGGCAUCUCAAGUGUCAGGCUGCCAGGGGAUACUGGUCAGCUUGGGACCGGGAGAGGUGAGAGGUACCUCAGGGGUAGGGGUGAAAUCUUGUAAUCCUUGAGGGACCACCAGUGGCGAAGGCGUCUCACCAGAACGGAUCCGACGGCAAGGGACGAAAGCUAGGGGCACGAACCGGAUUAGAUACCCGGGUAGUCCUAGCCGUAAACGAUACUCGCUAGGUGUCGGCCACGGUGCGACCGUGGUCGGUGCCGUAGGGAAGCCGUGAAGCGAGCCACCUGGGAAGUACGGCCGCAAGGCUGAAACU